This 323-nucleotide ribosomal RNA is filed under the name uncultured eukaryote. Its description in RNAcentral is "partial 18S ribosomal RNA". It matches the Rfam family "Eukaryotic small subunit ribosomal RNA", at positions 1470 to 1796 of the family's 1831-position model. The record is from RNAcentral.
CCCUUAGAUGUUCUGGGCCGCACGCGUGCUACACUGAACGGUUCAAUGGGUAAGGUAGUGCGAAAGCAUGACCUAAUCUCGAAAUCCGUUCGUGCUGGGGAUAGAAGCUUGCAAUUAUCCUUCUUGAACGAGGAAUACCUUGUAAGCGUGAGUCAUCAUCUCACGCUGAAUACGUCCCUGCCCUUUGUACACCCCGCCCGUCGCUCCUACCGAUUGAGUGUUCCGGUGAGGCUUUGGGAGAAUGGCCUCAACAUGAGUUUAUCGUGUUUUGCCGUUUGAACUUAGUCAAACCUUAUCACUUAGAGGAAGGAGAAGUCGUAACA